Molecule: long non-coding RNA, 27055 nt
Filed under: Ananas comosus (pineapple)
Lineage: Eukaryota; Viridiplantae; Streptophyta; Magnoliopsida; Poales; Bromeliaceae
Description: long non-coding RNA (ACOM_LNC009429)
Source: RNAcentral
UGAGUUUAUUUAUAAGUAUUUUUAUUUACCUAUAUACAUAUAUUAUUUAUUUAUUUAGCUAUUUAUUUAUUUAUUUAUUAUUAUUAAUUUGUGGGUGAUCCUAUCCCUGACCAACUGCUGCAGUUGGAACUACGACCAAUUUGGAUGUAGUUCCAACUGCAGCAUUUGGGCCUUCUUGUGCAGUUGAAACUGCAGCAGCUGAACUCAACUACACUAAACCAAACAAAGGAAUUGUGGCUGCACGCAUUUGCAACUGCACUGCAGUUGCAAAUACGUACAACCAAACAGCCCCUAAGUGGAAUAGUUCAAAUUGCACACUUGGAAUCACAUGUCUCAAGUUGCAUGCUAUGCAAAUCAAACAUGGCAUGCAAACUAACACAUAACAUACUCCAAAGAAGGGAAAACAACCAAUCAAAAGUGCUGCUACAGGAACCCUCAAAGGUCCCCUCAAAGACCGCUGAUGCGCUGGCAAUUCCAUAUAACAUAUACUGAUCAGUUCAGGCACGCAACCUGAGGCAUCGCCAGUACAUCAGCGGCACUUGAGGAGGCCAUAGAAGGGUACCCAAAGCAUCACUCAUUAAAAAAAAUUCCUGCUUUCCAAGAAGAAGUAGACCCUUUCAAUCACCUACAAUAACAGGAGUAAUGCUAUGUCCACUCCCGUUUACUCAAAAAGUAAACGAAUUAGACUAAUAAAAUUAGUACGACUAAAAGUUUAGUGUGAUGUACCCAUUGUACAGCCCACACAGAUCCCCAAAUCGACCAAUUCAGCAAACCAUCCUAUUUACUCGCAAGUAAACAGAAGCGAGCAAAGCAUUUCCCCCACAAUACAUAACCUAAUACCCUAGAAGCUGUAAAUUUACAUAUCUCAACUCCACAUAGGAAGAAUACCAUCAAAAUGUAAAAUCUCUCUUAUCUAAGGGCUACAGAGGUUGAGAAAAGAGGAGAAAGAAAGGCCUAAAGCAAAAGCAAUGGAGAACAGAGAGAUAUCUCCUCUAUGGCUUCCAUUCCUCUUCACACUACUUAUAACAAAGUUCCUGAAAUAGCUAAUUAUACCAAGCAAACCUUUCCAAAAAAAGCAAAAACAAGCUUUGAGGAAGGUUAGGAAAACAACCCAGCAAGAUAAUCCUGCCCUUCUUCUUGUUCUCUUCCUGCUCUUCUUCCAACUCCAUGGAUGGCCUCUUCCUGCUAUACUUCCAACUCCCUUAAUAGAAAGUAAUGGGCUGGUUUUAAUAAGCUGGGUUAAAGAAGCAGGUGGUAUUUAUUAUACUGUUUUGUGAAACCGAUUGCUCAAACUGCACUGCUUGCUAGUCCCUGAACUUUUAGUAAAUUUAACUCCCACCCUAAAUUUUUUUUUAUCUUAAUACUUUUACCUUUUAAACUUUCAAAUUUUUAAUUUCGCCACUCUACAUAUUAUGAACAUAUAUUGCUCACUUAAAAAAUUUAUCUAUACUGAUAUGCUAAAUUUUUACUAUUUUUUUUUUCUUAUAACACUAACUGAUCUAUUUAUGUCUUAUAUUUCAACAUGUCAAUAAGUUAUUAUAGAAUGUUUAAAUAUACACCAUAUUAUUAUAUUUACCAUUAAAAAAGUGAUUGUCUAUAUCUAGUGCAUCUCUAUAUUUAUGUUCAAUAUAUUUGAUGAACCUUUAUUUCAAUUUAAAUAUAAGCUAAUUUGCAAAAAAAUAUAUAUGUUUGAAUAUUAGAUAGUUAUAUUACAAUAAUCAUGUUGCCUGUAUACGCAGAUAAACCAAAUACAAGUCAUUACUUUUUCUUUAUAGCAAAUAAGAAAAGAAAGGCAAAAAGAAAAUGAAAGAAUCUCUAAGAUAUAGGCUAUUUUCAAAAUGGCCCCUAUAACCUUAAUUUUUUUUUGACUAAAAUCUCCUUAUUUUUUAAUCUUUCGCAAUUAAAUAAUUCUUAUCCAAUAUAUUUUUAUAGAUAUAAAUAAUUACCAAUUGGAACAUUAAAUUAAGGGGUUUAUUUCAAAAUGACAUAUAAGCUAUAGGUGAGAUGGUCUAUAUAUUAUCUAAAAAGAAACAAUUGAAUGUUCAAAAAUCUCAUAAUGUUUUAAUUAAAACCAUGGGUAGUUGGGUACCAAAAUAAAAUCGUUACCAAGGUUGGGGCUAAAAGUGCAAUUUUCCCAUGAAACCACUCAGACCGCCCCUGGUUUUUCUCUGCACCAAUUGUCGGCUGUUAGUGCGGCAAGGCAGCGGAUUCCCUGCCACGGAAAUAAUUUCUCCAGCAUCAAUAAAGCGUAAAACUUAGUUAGUUAAUUCGCGUUUAAUUCGCGAAUUAUUCUCAACUUUUUAGAAAAUCGAAUUAAACGUUGGCAUCCGAAUUUUUUCAAAACAUGCGUAAAAAAAUAUAUUUUUUUCAGCAAUAAUAAUCAUCCGCGAAUCAUUCGUGAUUCGCGAAUGAUUCGUCCAAAGAAACGGCGGUCGCGGACUCGCAGCCGCGUCGUCACCGCCAUCGUCGGCGUCCUCCUCCUCCAUCGCUUUCGUCGCGGAACUUUGGAUCACUGUAAAAUUUCUCGAAAAAAAAAAUUUUCGCUAAAAUUUUUUUUUCCAAACAAUAAGUUGUCCCUCAAAUUUUUUUUUAAAAAAUUAUUUUAUAAAUUUUGAAAAAAAAAUCGAGUUUGUGACUUGAGACUUGAGAGCAAGCGGUAGAAAUGGCGCCGGGUUUGGGAAGAAGAAGAAGGGAAAUCGGGGCUUUCGAGAACAGGAUGAGGCGGGGUCCACGAGGCCACUUUGGUCUCGUGGACCGCAUGAGAGGGAGGUCCGUUGUCAUUAACUUUAUAUAUAUAUAUAUAUAUAUAUAUAUAUUAAAUUUUAUUUAUAAAUAUAUAUUUAUUUAUUAUAUAUAGUAUUCUAUUUUUAUAUAAAAAUAUUAUUAUAUAAUAUUUUAUUUAUAAUGAUAAUAUAGUUUGCUAUUCUUUUUACUUAAUUAGCUUAAUUUUGUAGUUUUUUAUUCUUAUAUUCUUAAGAAAUAUGAGUAUUUAUACUAAUAGAAUAAAUCUUGAGAAAAAAUAAUUUUAAUUUAAUAGCCGAAUUUUUGAUCCCGAAUUUUUAAUUGAAGAACGUAUAAUAUCCGUAUAAAUCACGUAUCCGAAUAAUUACUGAAUCCGUUUUUUAGCCGUAUUUUUCAACGAAUUUAAAAAUUAAAAGACGAAUUUUAUCCGAAUUAUAUCCGUACCGAAUUUUUGCCGAAUCCGAAUUAACUAACUAUGGCGUAAACUUCUAUGUAUUCAGGAUAUUUUUUAUAAAUAAUUAAUAAUAUUUAUGUAAUUAUCUCUUACAAAUAAUAUUACACUCUGUUUGAUUCGGAGGUAAGAGGGGAUAACCCUUUAUACCCUUUAUAUUCAAAUUUAUAUUCAAACGCUAUUUUUCGUAUCCGACCAUUUCGAUAUAAGUCUAAAAUUACUAUUUCACCUUUAUUCUUAAAACAAUCGAAAACAAGAUUAAUUAAUCUAAUUAAUAUUAAAUUAUUAUUUCUGAAUAACUGGUUGAAAGUUUAGAACAGCUAUUCCCACACAUACUUUUAUUUUUAAAAUUUAAAAAUUAAAAAGUUAAAAUUUAUAAUUUUAAAAUUUGUAAUUUGUAAUCUCGAAAUUAAAGUUUAUUAAUUUAAAUUCUAAAUUUUAAUUUUAAAUUUUUAAAAUUUUCAAAUUUUCAAAUUUAAAACUUGAUAUUUUAUAUUUUUAAAAUUUAAAUUUGAUCUUAAGUUGAAAGUUUGAAAUUUAAAAUUUAAAAUUUUGAGAUUUUAAAUUUAAAUUUAAAAUCUGAAUAAAUCUAAACAUUUAAAAUUUUAAAUUUUAAAUUUUAAAUUUUAAAUAUUCUUUUUAGUAUACUAUUUUUCAUCCAAACGCAAAAUUGAUCAUAAUUCUUAUUAAUUUAUAUCUGAACUUAUGACUAUUUCUGAAAUAGAUAGUUUUUUCUUAUAUAUAUCCGAAUAAAACGAUACCUUCAAUGUUUUCAGAGCAAGUACUGUUACAUUCCAAUGGUUAAAAAAAACAAAAACUAUGGAGGUUUGAAACGUGCUCUAAUGAAUGUUUUUGAUGGGGCCUUUGAACCAAUAUCUACCACUCCAGAACCAGGAGAAGAGAGUGCAGAAGAGCACUCCCCCGAUGGCAACAGGGGUGUAGUUGAAGUUAUCCUUGGUGAUCGGAUACGCCACGGGCAGCGAGAAGAAGACGGUGAUCAUCGCGACCCAGAGAACUGCAGUCCAGCCGACGGCAGCGCUGUACCGACCGAGAUGGAAGGGGCCGCGGACGAAAGACUUGCGCCCCAGCGUCACCUUGAAGAAGACCGGCAGAGUGUAGGCGAUGUAGGGAACGAUCGUCGAGAUCGACGCCAUCGCCUGGAACGCGACGGAGCUGCCCAGCGACUGCACAAAAGUAUAUGUUGGAGGAAAAGGAUCGACGUGCAUGUUGCAUGUUGCAUGCAUGAGUUUGAUUGUAAUGUGAAGGUCGCAACAGAUGCCACUGCUUAUUAGUACGUGACUACAGAAAAUGUUCAAAACGUAUCUUUGAUUGUAGCUGCAACGCAGGAAAGAAAUUAUAAUUUGACUGUACAAAAAUUAGGGAGCCUGAUAAUUAUAACAAUAAAUUAUUAAUGCUAGCGGGUCAGGUCGUAAUACUUGGUGCCAAAAUCAAAUACCAAAGUGUAGGAGCUAAGUAUUAUGCGGAACAAAAUAUUAUCCACAGAGUUUGGUGGAGCCACUUCUUAAACCCGUAAAAAUCACCUCUAAAAUCUCACGUUAUCUAAUAAUUUUGAUCUAUAUGUAUGAUUGGCGUUGAACUUGACAACAUAGGAACCACCUCUAGAAUCUCAUAUAACUCUAGUCUAUAUGCGUGAUUGGAUUUGACAUUGAUGAAAACGUCGAAGUUCGUAGAAACUAGAAAUCACCUCUGAAAUCUCACGUCUGGCGAGAACGUCUGGGUCUCAACAGAAAGAGGGUCUGUAAUAUCUCAAUAGUUUCACAUCAUAUGAGAAAGAGAUUAUGAAGAGAUAUAUAAGGAUCAUGGGUUCAAGCAUUUUGGGUCGGUGAUUUGAACGUAAUGAGUUAUUAGUGCUAAUGAGUCGGAUCGUUCUGAUUAAAAAGUUCUCGAGAGCUACAUUAUCCAUAAAUUGGCUCCAGUAGAGGAAAGAUUUUCAAAAUUAAGUAAAUGCAAAAAUAUAACUUCUCUCAAGAGUGUUGGCAUAUUUGUACAUAAAAAGAUAAAAUAAAUAUGAUAGAAAUGGGUAUCUGCGCAUAUACUUAUGUGAUUUAUAUGUAGGUGCGUUGUAACAAAGAUAAGAAACAAUAUUUGACUCAGAUAGUAAGAUUAUAACUUCUGAAAUCAAGUAGAAAUGUAUGAAAUAUACGAUUUAAAAGCAAUUUGUGCAUAUAUAGUUGACUUAUUUUUUUAUUUAUUAAAGGGAAAAAAAAAAGAUGAUAUUAAAAGGGUACCGUGAGCGCCAUGCAAAAUGCGAGAACCACAGAUAACCAGACAGCAUUUACAGGGACUUCCUGCUUGUUUACUGAGUACCAGACUGCUGAAAAUGGCAUUGCUCCAUCUCUAGAGAAGGCAUAUGCCAUCCUGCAAUUGAUAAAACCAAUUCAUUUCAAAAUACAAAUAAUCAACAUGCAAUUGCAAAAUCAAUCUAAACAAUAUAAUGCAUCUAAAUCACUCGGAAUUAUCAAGAGGUGCAAAAAUUAAAUAAAUGAAAUAGGAAGAAAAAACCCAAGCACAACCACAACAACACGACAAAAUUAAUUUACGUUGUUCAUCCUUACCAACGUACCGGACUACAUCCACGAGUGUAAAGAGAUUAAAUCCAACUACCAAAUUGAAGGGAUUAUAAGAUUUUGUUAGAGACUAUCCCUCAAUAACAACGGGCAUACAACCAUCCAAAUGUUGGAUGGUGGAAGAAGACCUUCUUGUUACAUCUUCUUUAAAGCACCUCCCAAUUCCGCAAAUUUCGCUCAAAUGCCUCCGAUCAACAUUGAACGCCUUGAAUCAAGGAAGAAAAUCGAAAAAGAGAGCUCCUUCUUCAACCCUCUGUACAUUUCUCUUCUCUAUACUACAAAAAGGAAACCCUUGGGCGCAAAAUGGGAACUCUCCCUAUACUAUAUAUGUUAGGAUUUGGUUAGAUUUGUAGUUGAAUCCUAUUUAGAUAAGAAUUAAUAUUUAAAUCGGUUGAAGAUAAAUUAAGAUUUAAAUAUUAAUUAGAGGAUAAACCUAACUAGAUUAGGAUUAAUAUUUAAAUCUAUUAGAGAUUGAUUAAGAUAGAUUUAGAUAUUAAUUUGAGUAGAAAUCCUAAACAUAUUAGGAUUGGGGUACGUUUUAGUGGAGCCUUAUAAAUAGCUCUUUGUGGGUUUGCUUUUUGAUGUGAGUACGGGAGAGAGAGAGAAAAGGCCUCUUGGGUGCCGUACCAGAGAGAGAAAAAGAGAGAGAGAGAGUUAUUUAAUUAUGCUUUGAGUGCACCUAGUGCACGGGUGCAUGUGAAGGAUUGUCUUCUUUAUGGGUUUAUAGAAGACGAGAGAAGGGUAGAAGAGAUUCAGAAAGAGGGCUCGGAUUGUAGCUACUCUGUGCAGAAGAGGAGUCAGGUGUAAUCUUCUCUUAUUUAAUGAAUCUUAUUUUACCUGCAUAUUUUUCUCUUUUAUGAUUGUAUCAGCUUUUGCUGAGGAGACGGAUUUAUGGUAAAAACCCGAUUGGACGUUUCCGUUGCGGAAUCCCAACAAUCGAUACCGAAUCUACAGCAGUCGGUAUCGGAGCGGGUUGCGGAUUCACGAGAUCCGGUACCGGGGCGAGUACCGGAUUCCCAACAAUAUAUACCCAAUGAGAAUCCCUCUCAUAAUAACUUACUUGGCCAAAUGUGUUAAUGGGUUAGCUAAAGCUCAACUAACUACAAAUAGCCCACCGACUGUCCCUAGCACAAGUGGCAAAGGACUUGGUGGUUGGUACCCGAGGCCUCAAAUUCGAAUCCUAAUUGAUUCACGUUUUCAGCUAAGUUUAUUUCUUAAAAAAAUAAACAAAAUAGGUAGCAUGCUAUCUUUCUCUCAAAAAAAACUACGAAAUAACCUACUACAUAAGUGUUAUUGGACCAAACCUAAAAUAAACUAAACAGGCUAAUAGGUGAAUUUUAUAGCACCAAACCCAACACUUGAGAUUAAAAUUCUAAGUGCAAGCUUAACAUAUGAGAGAUUAAAAUUUAUAGGAAAAUCAAUAUUUUGAAGGAACAUCUAUGCGAAAUAGAUGCAAAAGUACUUAUGUAUGUAAAAGAAAAUUACAAGAAACAUGAGUUAUUUAGGGGCAGUUUGGUUCGCAGCAUUUCGAGUACAUAUAGAUGAUGGCCCAGUUGCUGCAUUUCUGGCUACAUCCAAAUUUGACGCAGUUGGACCAACAAGCACUUAAAAAUCCUAUCCUGGAGGUAACCCUACCUAAUAAAAAGUCUCUCUCUUUUUUAAGGAGGGUAAUAUAAAAAUAAGCUAAAAUAUAGAAAAUCUUCUAUAUAAAUUCAUGUUUUUUUUUCACUUACCCUUUUAGUUUCAAAAAUCUAAAUUUUAUUCCCUCGAAAUUUUAAAUUGAUGCACUUAAUUUUCCCCCAUCAGGUUCCGUCACUGUUCUAUCUAUUUUAUAUAAUUUACAUUGAGAACGUCCUUAAAACAGCAGGAAUUUAUUAAGAACUUAAAAACUUUUCCCUCUAGAGCAAGUAUAAGUAUAAUUUGGUCAUUCGCUCUCUCAGUUAACACCGUAACCCCUAUAAAACAUCUACAAAAUUUAGAGGAAGCAAAAUGUAAGUAUCAAAAUGUCGGGAAGAAAAAGUGAAAAAAUGGAUAUUUACGGGAGAGUUUUCUGUAUGAUGACAACAAUAAGUUCUGCAAAUUGCGGCUUCUAAUUGACAGCAACCAAACAAAAAGAAAAUUAUAGUUGAAGCAUUCUAAACUAGUAAACUAUAAGCUACCCGAUAGAUUAUGUGCAAAUAAAAUUACUAAAAUUUUCAACUGCAUGUAUCUCUAAUUACGUUUUAUUUAAUGAAAAGCGACCUCUACCUGGAGUUGCUUGUGACUAAGCUGACACCACAGAAGAAUAUGGCAACUGCCACCACUCCCAAGCAGACUAUCCCUCCAGCUCCACUUCCAUAUCUUUCCUUGAAUAUGAGGUAGAAGAUUUCAGCAAUUGCAUAGCCUCCAGCAUCAUUGUUGCUAUCCAGAAGAUAUGGUAUGUUGGUCACUGCAAAUGUAAUUGCUAUCAAAUAGGCCCAGCCAAAGAUGGAGGACAGGCUGACUGCAGUUAUUAUCCCAAUUGAUCCACUCCUGUCUGCAUUCUUUGUUUCCUCUGUCUGUUCAUAUAUAUAUAUAUAUAUAUAUAGAGAGAGAGAGAGAGAGAGAGAGAGAGAGAAAAGUUACAGUAAGUUUAUGGCAUCUAUCUUAAUUAAGAUUACAAGUUUAUUUAGUCCUUGAAGCUUGAUACUGGUUUCAAUUUCAUCAUCAUAUUUUCAAUUAAUUGCUGCAGUAAUUGAGUCCUUCAGCAUAAGAACUAAAAUUUUCUAUUAAAUAAUAAUAAUAAUAAUGUUAAUAAUACUUCUAUUGUGACACUCUAAUAGUCUGACAAUGGAGUUCUAAUUGGGAAUAUAUAAGACCUCAGGCCCUAAGUAACAACAACUGGGGUUAAUUAUUUCUCAAAAAAAAAAAAACCAACCGGGAUUAAUUAAGAAUUUUGGGCCUGUUGUUGGCCUCAACGAGCUAUUAUUGCUAGCGGGUCAGGUUCUUAUAUCUAUUAAGGGUUGUUAGGUUAGAUAUAAUUAAAAAUACAGCAAGUUAAAGAUGCAUGCAAUUAAGUUAAAUUAAAAUUACAUGCAUUUUAUUUUAUUGGAUUUAGUAGAAAAUGUUUCAACUAUAAAUAAUAUAUUUGGUUACAUGUAGUUGAGAAAUGCAUUUUCAAAAUUUUAUCAUCUUUUAUAUAUAUGUGGCAGUAGAGAUUUACCUUCAAUAUAGAAAAGAAAAAUAUAUUUUGUUUAGAAAGUGAUUAGGAAGAUAAGGUUACAUUUUGUUUGUAGUUACUCUCUCCAACUGUUACAGUUGAGAUUGUGGCUAAUUUAGGCAUAGUUUCAACCGCUGAAGUUAGCUUUCCUCGUACAAUUCUAACUGCAGCAGUUAAAUUCAAAUGUAUCAAACAAAAUACUAAACUUCAAUCUACGUGUGAUGAUUAAACUGCAAUACGGUUACAACUAUAUACAAUCAAACAGUCCCUUUAAAACAUAUGAUUUAUAAAAAGCAAAAAAGAAAAAGAAGGUAACCAUGCACAUACCAUGUGAGCAGAUGCAUCAUAUCCUGCCAUGGAGUAUUGGCUCAUCAAGAGACCCAAAACAAAUAUGUAGAGCUUGUUAUGUAUCCCCUCACCAUUAUCUGUGUUGAAGUGAGUAAACACAAAUUUGAAACUCGCCUUCUCCGUAGCAACAAUGGGAAUUAGAAUCACAAAUGCAAAAACACCUAUUACAAAACAAAAAAACAUAGUAAUUAUAUAGAUUAAUUUGAAGGUUAAUCCUAAUAUUCUUUAGAUCUGUUUGGACGCUGGAAUAAGUUAUACCACUUUUGAAGUUUACAAUAUAAGGGCUAAUAUUCAUAAUUAAGUAUUUUUCCUUUUUACUCAUGUUUAGACAUACUUUAAUUCAUCUUAGCAACCAAGUAAAAUGGUGUUUAAAAUAGCGAUAAGACACAUGCAGGAUAACAUUUUGUUUGGCUUAUUUUGUUUACUCAAGUUCCAUGGUAGAUGAUGCAAUAGUAACUUAAAUUCUAUGAAGAUUUGGUCUUGUGAUUGCAAACUAAGAUUUUGAAUUUAGCUUUUUAGAAGGUCUCUUCGUUCAUGAUUUGAUAGGAUGUUGUAUUUCAUCUGCAAGACAAUUUAUCUUAUUUGAAUAAAAAUGAUUUGAAGAUCAAAUAUGCUAUGCGCAUUUUUACGCAUUUGAUCAUAUUUUAAAUCUACCAAAUAUUAUAGGCUUCUUGUGAGAAUAAAAGAGAUGCUCCGAACAAGAGGUGCCCUCUUUAAUUUACUUGAGAAGCUUAUAGUAUUUAGUAGAUGCAGAGAGUGCGAUUAAAUGUCUAAUACAACAUAUCAUAUUUGGCCCACGAAGUUAUUUUCUCAAAACAAGAUAAAUCACCACAUAAGUAAAAUAUGCUAGGCUACUAAAUCAUAGCUAUCAAAUUUCUUUAAGAAACAAAAAUCAAACUCCUAACUUUCAGUCACUAGAUAACUUAUCGGAUAUCCAUCCAAACAAGUUAUAGUGUAUAAAUACCACUAAAUAACUUACUCUGACAACUUAAUAUGAUUAUAUUCCAUAAGUUAUUACCAAAUAACUAGUUCCAACAUCCAAAUAGCUGGUAUGACACUCCAAUAGUCCCACAUAGGAUGCAAACAAAAUUUGUGAUUAGGAAUAUAAAAGACCAUAGAGCUUAGUAAUAAUAACUGAGUUUUGAGCAUUUUGGGCCAGUAGUUUUAGUCCAAUGAGUUAGUAUUGCCAGAUGGUAGGAUUGUUAAAUUUGGCAUCAAAAUUGAUUCAACGGUCGGAAAUAUGAAGUGGAUCUCACAUCGCCUGAUAAUCUUAAAUUAUAUAUGUCAUUGUGGUGAUCUUGGGCAAUGUGUGUGAUUGAACUAACAAAAGCGUUAGGACCUAAACGUUCUGUGAUAUCUCAAUAGUCUCACAGAUAUUAUCAUUAAUUAUUAUUACUAACGGAUCGAAUUGUUACAGAUAGAUUGAAAACUAUAAAAAAACACAUGCAUUCUCAUGUUUUAGGGCUCACCUAACAUAUUCCAGAGGGCACCAAUUUGGCCAAAGAUUGACAGCCAUGUUACAGGAAGGCUAUUAAUCAUGCCAUGCAACAACAAGAUGCCACCAUGGAACCCUAGCACCAUGUAUUUAGAUGCCAAGUACCCUCCACCAUUGGCUCCUCCUGUGCUCAGUAGAAUGAUAACUUGGAGUAGCUGGGCUAGAGAGAAGUCCACACUUGUAGUACCAGCCCACUAAAACAAUAAAAAAUAAAAAGUAAAAAAAAAAAAAAAAAGAAAGUAAAGAAGACCUCCUCAACUAUGAGCCAUUUCAAAAUGCCCCUAGGUAACUUUAGGGCUCUGUUUAGAUGUCGAAAUAAGUUAUUUUUAGAUUCCGUGUAAGAAGUUUUUAAUAUGAUUAUAAGUAAGGAGUUCGAUAUUUGCUCUUUCAAAAGUUUUACUAUUCAUAAUUUCGUACGAUAUCAUAAUUCAUCUACGACAUGAUUUAUCUAAUUCAAAAAAAUAAUUUAAAGGCCGAAAAUAUAUCCAAUUCUAAACAUUCGAUUACAUUCCUUAUCAAUCAAAUUUACAAAUUUCUAAAUAAAUUAUAUUCAUGCAAUUUUGGCCAAAUAAGUGAUUUUAUUAAAUUUAAUAACUUUAAUCACUCUUUAAACUUAGCAAACUAGGAUGAUCAAAUAAAAAUAAGGGAAUGUCGGGAAAAAGAAAUUAAGGAAAUUUAAUUUUCUUUUGUUGGCACCCCUUUAAAUUUUAAAUUUUCAAAUCAAGUGAUUACACAAUAAAAUCAGGGGUUUUAUUGCACUCAUCAAGGAUUGCAUUGAAUUUAACAUGUUUAAUCACUUUUUAAAAAAUAAAUCUGAAAUAUUUAAUAGCUGAUAGUUAAUAAAUAGAGCCAGCAAACUUAAACAAAAUUUUUAACUUAACUAAUUAAGUAGCAUAAUUCAAAUUAAACAAAAUUAAAAAUUUGAGGGGCCCAUUUGAAAAUCGCCUUUAGGAGAGGGAUGAAAUUGACAAUACCUGUCCAACAAUGUUAAACCUGCAUGUAUAAAAUAUUGAUAGUUAAAAUUUACAUUCUCUUGGACUUGAAAAUACAAAGAAUUAAACAUCCUUCUUAAAAUUCUGAAUUAAUUCAAGGGAAAAAUAGAAGAAGAUUUUAUUUUCUUUACAUGGAAGUCCAGGAAAAAAUAUAAAAUUUCAUCUUGAAAAUAAGAGAGCAUUUGAAACUUAUAAAAAAUAAAUUUCGUAAUUUUGUUUGAAAUUAUAAUAAAGCUCAUCAAAAGGGUAUAAAAUGAACGAUCAAAAUCGAAUGAUCUCAUAAAAGUAGGGGAUCAGAUUCUUCAAUUUAAAAUCAAAAUUAUUGAUCUUUAUCUAAAUAGUGAAUAUAAUUUUCUAUUGAAAAUUCAACGGAUUUCGAUUCUUUUCGUAUGGCCUUUAAAUAUUUUUAAUUUUGAUAUAUUUUGAUCGUAAAAUAUAUGACGUCGAAAAAUUAUAAAAUUUGAGUUCUAGAUUUUUAAAUACUCUAAAUCAUGUGAAACGAUAUAAACCGUUGAUUCGCAAGAUCUAAAAUCGAAAACAAAUUAUAAAUACAAAAGCGUACUCCUAAAAAUAUAGUAACCGAAUUAUAUAUAAAUUAUACAAGGAAUUAAAAAAGAUAUUGUGCAAAGCGCAAAAUCGUAAUUGAGACACUAUAUAUACUUGUAAGGUGCUCAUAAAUGUUUGGUAUGUUUAGCGAGAAAAUGAUUAGUUGGCAUUGUGUUGAAUAGCUCUAUCAAACAGCACUACCGCAAAAACUCAUUCUGGACAAACAGUUUGUCUCGAUAAGAAGUGUAACAAACCAGCCGGUCAUCCAGGAGGCGAGAGGAGCCCAGUCCUCGCCGGUGAGCCGGGCGCUCCAGUAGUACAGCCCGCCCGACGUCGGGUACGCGGAGCAAAUCUCCGCCAUCGCCAGCGCGAUGCACCCGUUCAUCGCCGUCACCACCACCCACCCGAGCGUCGCCGACGCGGGCCCGCCGUACCGCAGCCCGGUGUUGUACGUGGUCGUCACGCCGGUCAGCACCGAUAUGAUCGCGAACGAGAACGCGAAGUUCGACACCACCCUACGCCGAUCACGCGGAAUAGGAAGCAACUUCAAUGCAUGAAAGGCUUGCAAAAAUGAUAGAAAUGAUCAAAGGAAUUGAAAUUGCGCGAUCGGAUUACGAGAGGCCGCGCUUCAGCUCCUGCUUGUAGCCCAGCUCGCGGAGCCGGGCGCGGUCCGGAUCAUCGGCACCCGAAUUUCUCUCAUUGCCAUUUGCUUCAUGGCCUUCUGGUGUAGCCAUUUCUACAUGUGGGAAUGAGAAGAUACUCCCAGAUUCCCACUCUUCACUUUCCACAACUGCUACAUAUAUAUAAUGCCAAGUACAAAGUCUACAUAACAAAGGAUCCGAAUCCAAAACCGAACCCGCCAUAUAAAUUUGACCCGUGUCCGACCAGAAACCGAACAUGCGAGGUUUUCAAUUGGAUUCUGACGCAGACCUAAACCGCUUUGAGAGAAAAGAAGCAUAAGGACAAAAAGAGAGGAAUACACGAAGAACUAAUUAAUUCUUCGAAAAAACCAAAAUAAUAUUUGUAAGAAAAAAUCUUUGUAAAAAACCAAUUCUUUGUAAAAAUAACCUAAAAAUAUAAAAACAGAGGCCGAAACAAUUAAAUUUUGAUCCCAAACUCGGCCAAAACUGCUUUGCUGUUUGACACAUAAACCUCAAAAAGUGUUUCCUAAAUUAGAGUUGCAUGUUGAAGUCGGAUGCUGGAGCGAAAAGUUAUAGCCAUUUAAAGAUUGCUCUUUACGGAAAUGGGCCGAAUUUUUUGCUCGGCUUGAUUGAGUUGUAUUUUUUUAUAAACUCUAACGCUGAAUUGACUGUAUCAGUUUCCAUCAGAGUUUUAGUAAUCGACUACGCUGGGAUAGAAAACAAGCCCAAUGGACAUUUGAAUCUGAUGAGAUAUUACUGGAUCCGAUUUGGGGUAAUUGGUUUUGAAACCCUGCGAUUCGGGUUGCGUUUUGCCGGGUUAUCGGAUCCUUUGCCACCACCUCUAAGUAACAGGAUUUCACAGGAUUGUCUCUAUUAAUGUAGUUUAGCCAUUUGUUGAACAAUUGUGGGUUGCCACAUGCCACAAACUGAGUCAAAUUAAAUUAGCUCAUUAUAUUUGUGGCUUUUCUACAUAAGAGUCAAAGAUUCUAGUGGAAAUUUCAUUUUGUCUCACUCCUUUGACUGUUCAAAUUUGGUGGGAUUGAUGUGUCCAAAAUAUUGUGUCUAAAAUAGUGUAAACUAUUUCUCUCAUGGUGGAAGAGGUACCAUUAAUAAAUGCUCUGUUUGACCCAGUUUCAAAGUAUCUUACUAUUAUCUAAAUAUUUGAUAAAUUAUUAUAAUAUCUGAUUCGAAUUUCAAAAGUGUUACAAUUAACUCCUACAAUCUAGCUAAUUUAAUUGACGUAAAAGUAAUGUAUCCCCUUAAUUAUUAUCACUUCAUCGAUUACAACACUAAUAAUCUAUUAAUAUUUAACUAAUUAAAUUAUAUUGUAAAAUUUGAUUAUAAUAAUUUUAAAUAGUGAGUCAAAAAUUAUAAUUAAUUUCACUUGACUCGCUGUUUGAGGACCAAACAUGUGAUUCACUCUUGAAUAUUUUAUUCGAUUUAGUAAUUGAUGCCACAUCAUGCAUAUCCAUCAUAGAAUAAUAUUUUUGGUGGAAAGUCAUCUAUUUUUAUUAGGAAAAUGCUAAUGUACGCGCCCUUCGGGUGUACAAAUUACACCCCACCCAUUCAAUAGGUGGGGUGAUGUCAUGUGAGUGCUGCCGCACAGCCCCUUAUUUAUGUGGGAGCCCUUAAGUGGACAUCACCUCACCUAUUUGAUGGAUAAGAUGUAAAUCUUACACCCAUGAUGGGAUGUAGCUGUAGCAUUGCCUAUUUGAUUAUGGGGGCAACUUCAAAUUUACUCUGUGCAACUUCAAAAUAUCAUCAAUACCCCCUCAGAACGUACAAGCAUAUUAUCCAUCCAAUGGGUGGGAUGAUGUCAUGUGACUGCUGCCGCACAGCUCCUUAUUUAUGUGGGAGCCCUUGAGUGGACAUCACCCCACCCAUUGAAUAGAUGAGAUGUAGAUCUUACACCCACCCAUGAUGGGAUGUAGCUGUAGCAUUGCCCAUUUUAUUAUUGGGGCAACUUCAACUUUACUCUGUGUAACUUCAAAAUAUCAUCAAUACCCCCUCUGAACGUACAAGUAUAUCACCCACGCCCCUAAAGCUAUCACCAAUACUCCUAAAUCCUAAGCCCUCUUAUGCAUACGAAGGCACUCUUAAUAUUUCAUAAUUUAGAGGGAGAUUUAUAAAAUUACAACUUUCGGGGAGGGCAUGGAACAAACUACCCUUUUUUUUCUUUUUUCUUUUUUAACUUACCAACUAGUCCAAUAAAUUGUAGCACAAGUAAAAAAAGAUGUAAAAUGUCAUCUCUCAAUUAAAUAAAGCAGAAACACCCCACUAGUAAAGAAAAAUCUGAAAAAGGCCAGAUUGUGACUUAGUCCAUUGGUCGGGAAACAACAAAUAGAUUGAAAAAAUAGUGAAAGAAAUAAAGCAUGCAAACAAUUUAUGUGAUCAUCUUUAUUUUUUUUAGGGUAAUCGUCCGAGAGCAAAAAAUUAUUUAAAUAAUAUGAGGCGAUACAAAAUUAAAAAAAAACUCUCAAAAUAAGACGACACAGUAUAUUUUUUUUAUUAGACAGACCCUAAUUGACUAGUUGACCAACUUGCAUAGUAUUUCUGGAGAAGCAAGAAUUAUAUCUAAAAGAAAAGACGUAACAUUCGUCCACGAAAGACUAAAGCGCUUUGAGCUUCAUUCUAGCAUCCCAAGAUGCGGUUCACCUAUUUGUCUAUGUCAAUAUGUUGCUGAGACUAGAUUUUUUUUUCUAAUUAUAAAAAAAUAUAUUAUCAUUUUUAGAAUAUUUUAUUUACUUACUAAUAAAGUAAAAUAUGGUUCAAAUACAUAAAUAUUCAUCUUUUAGAAUUUAUGGAGUUAAAAAACAUUGGCCGUUUUAUUCUAUCUUCUCUUUCUUUUCCUUCUUACCUCUCUCUAUCUUUUUAACAUCUCUCUUCAGAAAAUUUGAUCUACCCAAAAUAAUUGCUUAUUUAAGAUAUUUAAUAUGCGCUUUAAACUUCAAAAACAUUUUAUUUAUCCUUGGGGAACCAAAAUAUCCUUAUAAUUUUAAAAAAUUUCUUCAAAUAUCCCUAUUUUCCCUUAUAUUAAUGAGAUUGGAUUUUAGAAAGGCAUUUUGAUAAUUUAGGGUAAAUUUGAAAUUUUUGAAUAGUAGUAAAAGGUAAAUACAAAAGCCCUAAAAUAAGAAGUGCCAUAGAAUCAUUUCUAACAAUACAGAAUCUGAAUUACCGACCAACACGGUUAAAUAUGACCUCCAACACUUGAUCUUACAAAAAACCAAAUUAGAGAUUUCUCGACGUCAUUUAUCGAGUACUCAACUGGUCUCGAAACUGAUAGUUUAAAUUGGAAAAGAAAAGAUGUAUUUGGAAAGAUCUGUUUAAUGAAUUCGAUCAUCAAUUCGAAUAUAUAUCAUGACUGAAAAUGAUGCCAAGGUAAGAAGCCUCUUUCUAGUUUUACUCAAAUAAUGUUGAUUUGUCAGCAACUAGUUGUCAUGCCAGGGUUCAGACAAGAAGAGUGGAUCCAAUUACCACUGCUGACCUGAAAAGCAUAAGUUUUGGGUGCUUCUCUUGUUAGCUUAGUACAGCCAAAAAAUGAUCUUUCUCCUGAUAGUGACUAUAAUAAUCGCGACUCAAAAUGCAAAAACACUUAUUAACAUGGAUAACAACGACGCAGUUUCAGGAAUUUUUUGGAAAACACUACUUCCAAUGUAACACCUGUACUAUAACACCUGUACUAUAGAGAAUUGGCAUCAGAUGAAUCAAAUAUUACCACACAUUGUAAAACUCGUUAUCAACGUACUUAAUACGAUCAUCUACUUUCAAAUUACUAAGAUAUUCGUAAUCUGAAUCUCAGCAACAGUUCACCAGGUUCAAAAGGAGUAUAAACAGACAAUAAGUAGUGUAAACAAUACAACGAAUCGGAAGAGUAGACACAAAAUCAUUGAACAAAAACUCUUAUCAGAUGCGUUGCUUUCGGACACGACCUUUUCUACAGUUAUAUAUGCCACUCUGUGGCUCUAUAAUUUACAUUCGGGUGCAGUAAUGUUCUUAAUCUGAACCCAAGCAACAAUCAAUUAGACUCAGACAUAGUCAGAACAGUACAACUAGCACAAAAGGUACAAUGAAUAGUAUAAACAGUAUGAUGAAUAGUGCGAGGAAAGAAUUGGUCAAGCCUAAUAAAACAAUCUCUAUUAGACGCAUCAUUUUCAGACGCACCUCUUCCCACCAUUAGAUAUCACUUAACGAAGCUUUAAGAUCUGAGUAAAAUAAAAUUCAACGGUAGAAAAAAAUAUGUUUAAAAAAGAUGCAUCUGAUAAAAAAAUUUUCCCUAAAAGCAAAGAGAUUCUGAGCUUUCUGACUAUCCCUUCUCCUGGAUUCUUUCAAGGAAGAAGAUAGAAUCAUACAAUUUUCAUUAGAAAUAAUAGAUAAUAAAUACUCAGUCUAAAGUGGCUGCUUGAUUUUUACAGUAAAUUUAGACAGCACAAAAUUAUGAAGAGUUGAACACUAGAAUGAGACUAGCAAAUGACAAUUUGUCCUAUGAGUUCUUUUCUUGCAUACUGGGCCCCACAAUCGGUCAAAAGACAUAGUAGCCCCCUCAAAUCUUGAUAUUUGCACAAUAAUCUCUAAAAACAUCUCUCUGGUUUAAAUAUGUUGUUCUAGAAGAUGCGAGACUUCAAAAGGAAAUCAAUAUACCCAGGAGCUGGCCAAAAGGUCAGGGGUGCGAGCCUCACAUGCGCUUUAACUAGCGGCUCGUCUCCCUGUCCUCAGGUUUAAUAUGCUCAGUCUGUACUAAAGUUCAGGGAAAAAAGAAAAAUUCAAACAGGUCAAUAUUUCCUUCUUGAGCAAUUGAAAAUUAAGCAUUCAUCGUUCUUCAAUGCAUAGUGCCAGGAAAUGGCAAUUGCAGAAACUAUACCUUUGGAAUUUCAAAGAAAUACAAUACAGAAUGGUCGGCAUACACCUCUUACCUUGCUCACGGUCUCAAACUGCAAGUUUAAUAUGUUAUUUUCAGACACACUCUUUCCUCUUUAAAGCCAAUUAGACUCGGAAAUAGUAGAAACAGUACGACUAGCAUAAAACGUUCACUGAAUAAUACAAUCAAUAUGAUGAAUAGGAAGAGAAAAGAAUUAGCGAAGCCUAAGAAAACAACCUCUAUCAGACGCGUCAUUUUCAGACGCACCCCUCCCUACCGUUGGAUAUCACUUUACGAAACUUUAUGAUCUGAGCAAAGUAAUAUCCAACGGUAGAAAAGGGUGUGUCUGAAAUAGACGCAUCUAGUAAAAGUUCUCCCCAAAGUUUAAGAGAUUCAGAGUGUUCUGACUUUGUCUUCUCCUUGAUUCAAUCUUCUCCUUGAUUCUUCCAAGGUAGAAGAUAGAAUCGCACCAUUUUAAUUAGAAAUGAUAGAUAAUCUAAAGUGGAUGCUUGAAUUUUGCAAUAAAUUAAUCAACAUAAUAAGCCUAUGAAUGGUCAACACUGGAAUGAGAGUAGCAAAUAACAAAUGUACGAUGGGUCUUUUGCAAACUAGUUUCUAUAAAUUCGAGCAAUGCUAUACAUACACCCCAAAACACCCCAAAAGAGGUGUAUGAUAUACACUCAACCCAUCCUAAGAUGAAAAUUUUUUUCCUGGUCACAUUGAUAUGACUAGUGAAACCCAUCCCAUCCUAGAUGAGUGGGACGUAUAUCAUACACCCCUUUUGGAGGUGCACACUAGCUUUUUCCAUGUAAUAUCUAUUUUUUAAUAUAUUAGCCCCUCGCAUCAUGUUAUUUGCGUGAUAAUCCCUAAAAACAUCGCUGCUUGCACAUAUUUGUCCUUACCAUUAUUAGUUUUCAACAUCCAACCAUUUUGAAGGGCAAAAAUAAUUUUGACAAAGUACUACACCUUGGGUUUGGUAAGAGUCACAUCUAGAAUCUCAUAUCGUCUGAUAAUUUUGGUCUGUGUGUGGGUGAUCAGGUUUAGACCUGACGAGGACGUCAGGGUCUAAAUAGGGAGUAUGUAAGACCCCAAUAGUCCCACAUCGGAUGGAAAAGAUUGUGAUUGAAAAUAUAGGGUUUAGGGUUUAGAUUUAAGCAUUUUGGGCCGAUAGCUCGGGUCCAAUAAGUUAUUAUUGCUAGCAGAUCAGGUCGUUACACCUAGAGAAACCACUUAAAACACAACUAACAAAACUGCUAAUCACCACAUUAACUAAUAAAUCCUGAAACACAUUUGCUCAUUAUAAAUGCUUAAAUAAUGAUUCAUUUCUAAGCUGACUACAAAAAUCACAAUAACCAACAAAUCCAAGUAACACUACUAUCUGUUACAAUUUAAUAGGUCACUUAGAUUCAACACCAUCACAAGAGUGCACACUGUUUAUAAAAAUUUUGUAAGUUUCACACUCUGAAAACCUCUUUCCCAAAGGUAAGUGUCGUAAAGUAUCUCUACCAAAUAUGCUAACAAUAAGAACAACGUCGCAUCAUAGAAACUAACCGUGAGAUAUUAUAAUAUUCAAUUUGAUAAAGAGUAUGUUCCAUUUAACCGCAAUUUUGGCCUGACUUGUAGAACAAAUUCUCUAACUGAGAUGCCAAAGCUAGAUUUGAGCUUAGAGCUUCUGUUAUGACCAAAAGGUUGAAAUUAGCCAUUACACUAAAGAGAAUAUUUUAGGGAAUCUACACUAAAGAGAACAUUAAAAGGCCAUCCAUCUACCCUUCCUUUUCAAUCCAGACCAUCAAACUAUGUUUUCGAGUAAAUUACGAAAAGUAUGACUUAGUUUCGAUGGCUUGAAUUGAGAGGACAAGACAGAUGAACAACAUCAACAAGAUAGAUGAACAACAUCCAAACAACCCCCCCACCCCCCAUGUACGAUAUUGUAAAGCACAAGCACAACAAUGAUAAUUAUGAUGACCAACUACUCAUUUCGCAAAUCAUAAUUGUGUUCAUACUUUUACGCUAGCAUUGAGCUUACAAGCAAACACAGCCUUGAAAUUCAACAAAUUGAAAAGCAUCUUUGAACGUUUAUAUACAAACUGUGUGUCCAAAAACGAGAUCUGCAAACAAGCACGUAAUUUGUUGCAGUUGUUAAGAAUACAUGAGCACAAACAAGAAAGGAAGAGCAAUCCUUCGAUAAUUUUCUGAAAGAAUUUCAUCAAGUUGUUGCCUUCCACUCCUGAGAUCAUAAUCUUUGCCAAUACAGCAUAAAAAAGUUGUAACUAGGUAGAAAAAUCAAGAAAAUCAUAUACCUGCUGACACAUAUGAGAGAAGUAAUUAUCAUAUCAUUUUUGCACUCAUGGACGAAGCUAUGUGGAGGCUUAAGGUGGCCAUGGCCCCCCUCAACUUUUCAAUAUUUGCUUAAUGGUCCUUCAAAGUUUUUUUUUUGGUGUACCAUGGAUAGAUUUGGCCCCCUUAGUUUUUCAAUAUUUACUUAAUAGCAUGGUGCCUACAUAACUCUCUCUCUCUUUCUCCUAAUCGAUAUACUUUUUUUAUGGAUGAAAAUAUAUUAAAAUCUUCUUGCUUAUAGAGUCUUUUGUAAUAUAUUUCUUUANUACUCUAAAAAUUUUAUUUAAUAAUUUUUUAAUAAAAAUUUUUUAAUUAGAAAAAAUUUUGUUUAUUAUUUAUUACUAAAGUUUUUAUUUAAAUAUAUUUUGGCCCCCCUCAAAUUGAAUCCUAGCUUCGUCCCUGUUUGCACUGAAAUGCUUUGUGCUGUAUACUAUGCAUAUAUUGAAGGCUUUGUUGAAAGACCAUGCCCCUAACAAAUCCAGUGAAGUGACCAACAUAGACCAGCUGAGAAUGCUGUUGUCGGAACCAUUUGAAACACUUUGUUCCAUAUACAUAAAAACAACUUAAAGUUUAGGGGAUAUAUAUAUAUAUAUAUAUUUCAAUUUUAGCUAAAACAACUAGAACUCUCUAAUGAUGACACACAUUAUUAGAUAGUAGAAACCACUAUAAAAAAUAAAAUUACAAAUUCCUAAUUGUUAGAACAUUUGCUAUGAAUACUUUCCUGCAUGCGAGACAGCGAGAGGUUUAAAAUUCGAGUAUUAUUGAUGUUAUAGUGCAAUACGCGCCUUAUAAUGGUGUAAGACCCAAGUGAACUAUAAACAACUAACUAUUGGCGGAUCCAUUAAGUAAACAUAUCCAAAAGCAACACAUCCACUGUUAAAGCCUGCCAUAAUGAACACAAAAACUGCAUGGACUUAGUAUCACUUUGCAUUUUCAAGGCUUACUACAAGCCCAACAUUAACAACAAGAGCUUGAUGCUGCACAACUGGAUGACGAGAAGUAGUGGACACAUGACAGCUCGCAAGGGAAAAUGUGUACCUACCAACUAUGCUUCUUACAAAGAAAAAGUAAUAAUAAUCAUCUGAGAGUAAAUAGGAGGGAGACCAGUCUAAUUGGAACAGCUUGACCACAAUGCAACACUCUUCAAAGUGGGAAAGCCUCUUAUCUAGAGCUCCGAUCCAUCAUAAAAGUCAAGCAACAAUGUUACCUGUACACCCAAAAAGUGUCUUUUCCUCAAUCACAUGCAUAUAUCAGGAACAACGUUACCUGUACACCCAAAAAGUGGGUGUACAUCUUACACCUCUCAAUCCAACGGUUUAAACAACAUCUUCUAGAUUUUUAACUAAAAAAAUAUUGAUAAGACAUGUGAAAUAUCGGCCCUUAGAUAAAAAGGUGUAAGAUUUACAUCCACUCUGUGGGCGUACAGGUAACAUUGCUCUUUUAUAAAUUAUAUUAUGAUCAAACAAGCAUAGAAGACGAAUGUCUCUAGCCUGAGAAUAGAUCUGAAAGCUCCAUUCCGACCUGCUAUAAUAUCAAAUCCAGAAGCUAAUGCUUAUAUGUCACUAUUCAAAAUAGUCCAUUAACCUAAAACAACUUCAAGCAUCUAAAGGCUGUUGGGUUAAAAUCCAAGUAGUUGUCCCAUAGCACCUUACCUUAUUCAAAUCCAAAUCCAUUGGGGAUCCAAUGCCAAUAAAGCCUGCUGACACCCAUCUCCACAUCUAAGGAACAAUGUUGAACUAUAGCUUGAACUCUAGGAUGACGUAACCUGGCCUUCUAUUCAUAAAAUCCCUAUGUUGAAACCCCUUAUGCAAGGAACAAUUAAAGCAAACAAUUGAGAAAAAAUCACAUAAUCGAGAGAAGCAAAUAGUCCUCUAGUUGGCUACAAUAUCACACUAUCUCAAUAUUGAGCUAUAUUCACAAUACCUAAUACUACAGGAAGAGGGAAACAAAGGGAAAUAACCUAACACAAAUUUCCUACCAAGUCUUGGCAGGAAAUAUUUUAGAUACUUUCUCUUCGGCCUCAUUCCACCUGUUACGAGUGAACUCUUUCUUCCUCUUUCUAUUUCAAUAUUCGUAGUCAAAUAAUUUUAACCACUAAGAAAUUGAGAAAGUAUACUCAUCUCUUACAAAAAAAAAAAGAGUGACAAGGAGAAGGCAAGGAUAUUCCAUCAACGAAUUGAACAGCAGCCGCUAUGUCACAACUCAAGAAAUUCUUCGAUUGCAAUCCCUUUCUGCUCUUAUAUUUACUCUCUUCUUCCUAUCUAACUAAUGGCCGGUGAUAUUAACAGAGCAAUUUUUAUUACUGACAGAACAGAUACAUUGAACCUGAUCAUAUUCACAAAGCAAAUUUGAUCAGAUUCAAUGCAUCUACUCUGUCAAUAACAAAAAUUGUUCUGUUAAUACCAACCCUUUUUACUUAAGACUACCAAUUACUAAAUUGAAUCUCAUCAUUAUUCAAAAAGCAACAUUAACCAAAUUCAACUCAUCUACUCGAGUCAAUAAAAAUAAUAUUGCUCUAUUUAUGUCUUUGGCCUUUAUGAAAAUGUGCAUGCUACUCUUGGUUCAAUCAAACUAAUCUGUACUCGUCCAUUCUACAUGGGCAUAAAAUAUCGUGUGUAUAGCAUUUUUCUUCUGAAAGAGCAAUUGCCCACAAGCAUUUAUGUGCACACCAAUUAGAUGAGGUUGUCUGCCUGUACUGGCCCUAGCAUUUUAGUAAAAUAUAGCUUCAUGAUGUAGUGGGUCUAGUAUUUUCCUUACUACAGAGAAUCGCUAAAGUCAUGUGCAUCUACAUGCACAUUAAUGUGCACGUACAUGAGGUGGUGUUCUCUUAUUUGGUAGUUAGUGAUUCACAGGUUUGCGAGUAGAGGUGUCAAAUAGGCCAAGUGGCCUGUAGGCCAAUAGAACUAGGCACAAUCAUAUGCAUGUCAAACCUGCACCUUUUGUUUUCUAUUAUUUUUCUUCAUAUAAUAUAAUUAAAACUGUUCAAAUUUCAAAUGAUUUUUUAAAAAACUAUCUAAUAACUAUCUAAAACUUAUCUCAAGUAAAAAUAACUAUAUACUUUUUAGAAAACAAAUAUUAAAAAAACAAAUUAAAAAUUUAUAAGAUUUGAAAAAUAGAAAAAGGUUUGGAUGGCCUGGCCUGUCCUGGCCUCCCAUCCCUAUUGGGCCUCCUGGAAACUAGACAAAGCUACUUUGGAACUUCAUCCCUCCACUAAGUAGGGACUAGGACCAUGUGUUUUUUUUAAUCUUGGACCAAAAUGGCCCUUCGACAACCAAAUUCUUAUGGUUGUACGUGGGUAUUUUAGUUUUUUAUUUAUUUUAAAUUUUAGAAAAUUCUUUAAAACAUCAAAAAAAAUUAAAAAUUAAAGAAUCGACAUGGAGCUCAGCCAGGCCCCACAUGACUUAGCCCGACCUGAGCUGGGGGGCCGUGGUUGGCCAUCGUUUCGAGAAAUAAGACCUAACCUAGCUCGGCACUACACGAAUAUAGGGCCAUGUCGUGUCGGACUAGCCGCUAGCUCAUUUCAGCCCAAGUACAUAUGGAUCGUGCCUACAUUACACCCUUAGAUGCAACCCUGAUUCUACUAAUCUACUAGCUUCUAGCUCUACAUGCACAUAAAGUCUUUGUGGCGUAGCAUUUUUGAGAUUUCAUUAAAGUUAGUCUUCGUAGCACAGCAUUUUCAAGAUUUUAUUAACGUCCAUCUCUUGUUACCCCUUAUGAUCCUAAGAUGCUCUUUUGCAAGGCCACCACACAAAUAAUCAAUAUUAAUAAAAACCACCAACCAAAUGCACCUAAUGUUGAUCCAUAUAGCACUACAUUCCUUAGAUAUAUUAUUAAAAUCUAACAUUGCUAUAAGAGCAAACACCACACUAUGACAUUGACCAAAAUCAAAUUGCAAGUCCCUUGUACAAGAGAAAAUAUCCCUACCAACUAUACUAGCAGUCAAAAACCUUGAGACAAUAUCAUUUCACCAAUCAAAAGGUACAUAUUGACAUUCUACCUUUCUCAAUUCUUUCUCAGUGAUUGCAAGCUCAACUUUUAAAACAAAUUCUCUCUCAAAUGCAAAAGUUUGUCUAGAGAUCAAAGCUUUCUUCAUCUAAAUUCCCAAAAUAAUGCUACUAUCUUAUACAUUUGCAGCAUUAUUGACAAUAUUAUAUCCUUAUUUGGUCUAUUACAUGUUAAAUCUAGGCUCCUGAGUUCUUUACCAUGAAAAAGAUUCCCAUUAUACUUUCAAAUCAUUUGCAGAUACAUUAUAACCUUAAAAAUACAUAUGUAAAUACAAAUAUACAAGCACUCUUCUUUGCAGAUAUAAACAAUUAAGUUACUAUAGAUAAAAACGAACUACAGUUGUCAUCACAAAAAUAUACAUAAAUAUACAUAACAAUUCCUCGACUGCUAGCACAGUUGGUAAGAAUACUUUCCUAAGUACCAGAGAUUCACAAUAUAAUUUCCAUCAAUGCCAAAGAACGAUGAGCACCCCCACCAUAGUAUGCGAACUUACCUAUUAUAAUGACUUAACAAUCAUUACUAAAAGCUCACUAGUCACUAGAGACCUAGAACUGACCACAAAAGCCUAUUCUAUACAAAUACACAAUUCUUGCUAUAAGCUACAACUAUCUACAGGAAAUGUCGCAUCACUAACAAGUAACAACUACAUAGUACGUGCUAUACAAUCCCUAGUUCAUAUCUAAGAAAGAGAAAGAGUUGUCUUAUCCUAUGUAGGAGAACUCAACCUUGAUUAUUAGACCUACUUACAAUGGACUAUGCAUUUGAGAAAAGGAAAUAAACAUAGAAAAAUCCAAUUAAAAUCAUAUGUUGCUCUUUAUAUCAUGCAUUUAUCAACAAUCUGAUAUGAGAUACACCAAACAACAUCUCUUAAACAAAUAGAAAAGUAAUCCCUAAAUAUUUAUAUUUUCCGAAAUGUUCGUCAACUGCGCCUACUCUUAUGUCCAAGGUACACAUAGUUAAAAGCACUAUGAAUGAUUGUGGUGCGAUUGAAGUACCAAUCGAUCAUUGCUCCUUGUUAGACUAAAUGGCCUUUCUAAAAGUGCUCAAGUCUUCAUCUACAGGUAUAAGAGUUGCUAUAAAAAUACUGAUAACAAAAUAAAAAGUUUGCAGAAGGUCCCUCAACUUGUUUGCAAAAACGCGGGCCCUCAUUACAGGGAGCUAAAUGGAUAGUAUAUCUUCAUUUAGGAUUGAGAAAAGUUUCAAUUUGCCCCUUGUGGUUUAGCAUUUUUUUAGAUGGUACUCUGCGGUUUGAAAUAUUUCACUUUGCUACCCGGUGGUUUUACUUUUAUUUCGCUGUUAAAACCUAUCAUUAAGUAAGAUACUAAAGUAAUAAAAUUUAUAAACCACAGGAUACUAAAAAAAUAAAUUUUACAAACCACAAGGUGGCAAUUAUAGCAUUUUACCAAUCUAUAUUUUCAUAUAGUUACCUUGCGGUUUGUAAAAUAUAUCAAUUUAAUACCCUACUUAACAACGGGUAUUAAUGGCAAGACAAAAGUAAAACCUUAGGAUAGUAAAGUGAAACACGUAAAACCACAUAAGCCAAAUUGAAAACGUGUAAAUCACAGGGGGCUAAGUUGACGCUUUUUCCUUUAGGAUUUUCAACAGCUUAGAGAACCAAUAUGAUUGUGACUUGUUACUUCACAUUUUCACUGGCUUGUGACUUGUUACUAUUCAACAGGAAUUGAGAAAGUGGUAACAAGGUCCUGAGAGGGCAUAAAUAUAAUUUAUGUUCAUCAGUUGAACAGUCCAUAAUCAACUAAGAAAAUGAAGGACUCUACCUUGAUUGCAAUGGAAAAAAAAAAAAAAACACUUUUCUUCACAAAAAAUAUGUAUAUAUAUAAAUAUAAAACUUUGCAAUGGAAUUACAGUGUCUAACCAGAUUUUAAUUUCAAAAUUCAUACUCUUAUUCUGCAAAAUUCUAACAACCAUGAUCAUUCAAUGAAUAAGUUAGACAUAUAUUCUAAGCUUCUUUUAGCUACAGAAACAAAUAUAUCUUCCUAAAAUCCCAAAAAACAUCUCAAAUAAACUCUGGGCUAUAUUUGAAACAAUGGGUACAUAUAAAACUCAGCAACUUUUGCAGGGUACAUAGGCAAUUACCUGUAAUUAGAAAAAGGGCAUCAAUACAUAACUAAAUAGUAACAACCAAAAUCCAACCCAAAACCCCCCCAUUAAAUAAGAUCUUGAAGCUCAUCAGCUCACAUUCUUAUUCUAACUAUUCAAAUCACAAGAAAAAUCAAGGAUUAAGCACCAUACACAAAAUCAAACCUCAAAUAUUCAACCCAAGUCUCUGAAAAAAAAAAAAUCAAUGAAAUUACUAACUCACCAAAUACCCUGAACACACUGACAUCAAAAAAUACCAUCAAUUUUUGUGAGCAAAGGGUGAAGAUAUGAUGUUGUGAAGGGAAAAUAGGAUGGUUUUAAAGCAACAGAGAGAAGAAGAGAGAGAGAGAGUGAAUGAAACAAGAGUGGGGGUGUAGGUUCAAAAACAAAGCAGGAUUUUGGGAAAUGGGGAGUGGUUUUCUGAAACCACUGUCAGGCAGCCCCUGUUUCUCUGAAUCAACUGUCGGUGGUUGACAGAACAAUGAUUCAGAUUCUUAUACUUUUUCUUUUUAUGGCAGGAAGUGUUAAAAUUUCCAUGUGACAUCAAUCUACAUGCAUUCAUGCAAUGUACAAAUAUCUCAAUAAUAUAUAUUGCAUGGAUUGAGAGAGAAUAUAUGUAAAAAGAAAUUAAAAAAUAAAAUCAAAAUAAGCACUCAGACUAAUACAAAUUAUGAAACAGUAAGCUAAUAAACAAAUAUUUUGGAGGGUGUGAAUUUGCAAUUUCAUCUAAUAUUAAAGUUAUUAUAUUUAGAUGUUGUUAAACAAGGUAGAGCAGUU